Molecule: ribosomal RNA, 253 nt
Filed under: uncultured bacterium
Lineage: Bacteria
Description: partial 16S ribosomal RNA
Rfam family: Bacterial small subunit ribosomal RNA
Source: RNAcentral
UACAGAGGGGGCAAGCGUUGUUCGGAAUUACUGGGCGUAAAGGGCGCGUAGGCGGCCCGCUAAGUCACACGUGUAAUCCCUCGGCUCAACCGGGGAACUGCGUGUGAGACUGGAUGGCUUGAGUUUGGGAGAGGAAUGCGGAAUUCCAGGUGUAGCGGUGAAAUGCGUAGAUAUCUGGAGGAACACCGGUGGCGAAGGCGGCAUUCUGGACCAACACUGACGCUGAGGAGCGAAAGCCAGGGGAGCAAACGGG